This 220-nucleotide ribosomal RNA is filed under the name uncultured fungus. RNAcentral's name for it is "partial 18S ribosomal RNA". The stretch from base 38 to 220 matches the Rfam family "Eukaryotic small subunit ribosomal RNA", at positions 684 to 868 of the family's 1831-position model. The record is from RNAcentral. Lineage: Eukaryota; Fungi.
GGAUUAGUGCGCCGGUCGUGCCUUCGGUAUGUACUGGUGUUACUGGUUCCUACCUUCUGACGAACCGUCAUGUCAUUAAUUUGGUGUGGCGGGGAAUCAGGACUGUUACUUUGAAAAAAUUAGAGUGUUUAAAGCAGGCUCGCGCUUGAAUACAUUAGCAUGGAAUAAUGAAAUAGGACGUUCGAUCCUAUUUUGUUGGUUUCUAGGAUUGACGUAAUGA